GGUUUGAUUAUGGCUCAGAUUGAACGCUGGCGGGAUGCUUUACACAUGCAAGUCGAACGGCAGCACGGACUUCGGUCUGGUGGCGAGUGGCGAACGGGUGAGUAAUGUAUCGGAACGUGCCCUAGUAGCGGGGGAUAACUACGCGAAAGCGUAGCUAAUACCGCAUACGCCCUUCGGGGGAAAGCGGGGGACCUUCGGGCCUCGCACUAUUAGGACGGCCGAUAUCGGAUUAGCUAGUUGGUGGGGUAACGGCUCACCAAGGCGACGAUCGCUGGUUUGAGAGGACGACCAGCCACACUUUGGGACUGAGACACGGCCCAGACUCCUGCGGGAGGCAGCAGUGGGGAAUUUUGGACAAUGGGGAAACCUGAUCCAGCCAUCCCGCGUGUGCGAUGAAGGCCUUCGGGUUGUAAAGCACUUUUGGCAGGAAAGAAACGGCACGGGAUAAUACCCCGUGCAACUGACGGUACCUGCAGAAUAAGCACCGGCUAACUACGUGCCAGCAGCCGCGGUAAUACGUAAGGGUGCAAGCGUUAAUCGGAAUUACUGGGCGUAAAGCGUGCGCAGGCGGUUCCGGAAAGAAGAUGUGAAAUCCCAGAGCUUAACUUUGGAGCUGCAUUUUUAACUUCUGCGAACUAGAGUGUGUCAGAGGGAGGUGGAAUUCCGCGUGUAGCAGUAAAUGCGUAGAUAUGCGGAGGAACACCGAUGGCGAAGGCAGCCUCCUGGGAUAACACUGACGCUCAUGCACGAAAGCGUGGGGAGCAAACAGGAUUAGAUACCCUGGUAGUCCACGCCUAAACGAUGUCAACUAGCUGUUGGGGCCUUCGGGCCUUGGUAGUGCAACUAACGCGUGAAGUUGACCGCCUGGGGAAGGUACGGUCGCAAGAUUAAAACUCAAAGGAAUUGACGGGGACCCGCACAAGCGGUGGAUGAUGUGGAUUAAUUCGAUGCAACGCGAAAAACCUUACCUACCCUUGACAUGUCUGGAAUCCCGAAGAGAUUUGGGAGUGCUCGCAAGAGAACCGGAACACAGGUGCUGCAUGGCUGUCGUCAGCUCGUGUCGUGAGAUGUUGGGUUAAGUCCUGGCAAGCGCAACCCUUGUCAUUAGUUGCUGAAAGGGCACUCUAAUGAGACUGCCGGUGACAAACCGGAGGAAGGUGGGGAUGACGUCAAGUCCUCAUGGCCCUUAUGGGUAGGGCUUCACACGUCAUACAAUGGUCGGGACAGAGGGUCGCCAACCCGCGAGAAGGUAAUCCCAGAAACCCGAUCGUAGUCCGGAUCGCAGUCUACAACUCGACUGCGUGAAGUCGGAAACGCUAGUAAUCGCGGAUCAGCAUGUCGCGGUGAAUACGUUCCCGGGUCUUGUACACACCGCCCGUCACACCAUGGGAGUGGGUUUUUACCAGAAGUAGUUAGCCUAACCGUAAGGAGGGCGAUUACCACGGUAGGAUUCAUGACUGGGGGUGAAGUCGUAACAAGGUAA
Molecule: ribosomal RNA, 1483 nt
Filed under: uncultured Bordetella sp.
Lineage: Bacteria; Pseudomonadati; Pseudomonadota; Betaproteobacteria; Burkholderiales; Alcaligenaceae
Description: partial 16S-23S ribosomal RNA intergenic spacer
Rfam family: Bacterial small subunit ribosomal RNA
Source: RNAcentral